RNAcentral lists this ribosomal RNA (394 nucleotides) under uncultured bacterium. Its description in RNAcentral is "partial 16S ribosomal RNA". It matches the Rfam family "Bacterial small subunit ribosomal RNA", at positions 523 to 918 of the family's 1533-position model. The record is from RNAcentral.
AUACGUAGGGGGCGAGCGUUGUCCGGAAUGAUUGGGCGUAAAGGGCGCGUAGGCGGCGCGGUAAGUCUGGAGUGAAAGUCCUGAUUUCAAGGUGGGAAUUGCUUUGGAUACUGCCGCGCUUGAGUGCAGGAGAGGUUAUCGGAAUUCCCGGUGUAGCGGUGAAAUGCAUAGAGAUCACACAGAACACCGAUUGCGAAGGCAUCUCACGAAGGGGAGAUUGACGCUGAGGCACGAAAGCGUGGGGAUCAAACAGGAUUAGAUACCCUGGUAGUCCACGCAGUAAACGAUGAUAACUAACCGCUGGGUCGUAGUGAUUCAGUGGCCAAGCGAAAGCGAUAAGUUAUCCACCUGGGGAGUACGACCGCAAGGUUGAAACUCAAAUGAAUUGGCGGGG